This 85-nucleotide transfer RNA is filed under the name Cryomorpha ignava. It matches the Rfam family "tRNA". From Rfam's summary of the family: Transfer RNA (tRNA) molecules are approximately 80 nucleotides in length. Their secondary structure includes four short double-helical elements and three loops (D, anti-codon, and T loops). The record is from Rfam by way of RNAcentral. Lineage: Bacteria; Pseudomonadati; Bacteroidota; Flavobacteriia; Flavobacteriales; Cryomorphaceae.
GCCCGGAUGGUGGAAUAGGUAGACACGCAGGACUUAAAAUCCUGUGACCAUUGCGGUCGUGCGGGUUCAAUUCCCGCUCCGGGUA